Molecule: RNA transcript, 807 nt
Organism: Papaver somniferum (opium poppy)
Lineage: Eukaryota; Viridiplantae; Streptophyta; Magnoliopsida; Ranunculales; Papaveraceae
Gene name: organelle RRM domain-containing protein 2, mitochondrial
Exons: 4
Source: RefSeq, a predicted model, not a curated record
GCAUCUGGCAUCACCACUUCCAGUUCUGUUUUUCCACCCCAUCAAAACCCCUAAUUCCCAAUCCCAUUUCCAUCUGAUUCACCCUGCAAGGGUUCAGGAUUAUUCUCAAAAAUGGCGUUCGUUUCAAAUUUCCGCCGAGUUAUUAGCAAUGGGUUAACGAGGACUUCAUUAUUAUCACAAGUUCGCGACAGUUCAACCUUGACAACCCCUAGACUUUUCGUCAGUGGUCUUUCAAGGAUGACCACAGACGAAAAGCUAAAAGAAGCAUUUUCCCCAUUUGGUCAGCUUCUGGAAGCAAAUGUCAUUACAGACAGAGCAUCUGGAAGGUCAAAGGGGUUUGGUUUUGUCAGAUAUGCAACUAUAGAAGAUGCAGAAAGGGCUCAACAAGGGAUGAACGCGAAGUACUUGGAUGGUUGGGUUAUCUUUGUUGAUCCUGCAAAACCAAGAGAACCAAGACCACGACCUCAGCCAGAGCCUGAGGCUUCUCAAACUGGUUUCAGAGUAAACAAGACAGUUGGAUGGUGUGGUAAUUAGUUAGCAGAGUGGAUACCGCAAUUCAUAGCUAUUAAACUUUGAUCUAAUAUGUAUAAAACAUCAGCAGAUCAGCUGCUAAGAAUAAUAAAGAAGAUACUGCUGGAGUUCCAAUCCGAGAAUUUACAGAGCGUGAGAAACCAAGGCUACUUUUGGUGGAAUACUGUCACGGAAUAGCUGUUCGGUACUGGCAUAAAGGAGCCAUUGGUCAAAAUUGUCGGUCUGCCAAGAAUUUCUCAAAUUAUCAUGCAAUUUGCACAUGCUUUUUUUUACUGC